GCUAGGAUUCCGGCGAUUUCUCCCUUUCUGGCUCUCUCCAUCUCUUGCUCCGUCUUUCCCAUUUCCCCCCGAUGACUACGGUCCAGUGAUUUGCCGGUGAUAGAUCCGGAUGAUUAUCCUGCCGAAUCUAGCGGCGGCGAGUAUGAGCUCGGGCUGCGGUAGAGAGAGCAUCCCACGCGAGAGAGCAUCCCACGCGAGAGGGUGGGCAAGCUCUUCCUCGGAUGGAUUCUCGUGCGCGAGGUGGUUAUAAUUUGGCCGCGGUGGACCUCCUGUGCGCAACAUCUUCAGAUACUGACGGUGUAGGGGUGGUGAGAUUCAGAGAUCUGCAAAUAUAGAGGAGAGAGGCCGAACGAGAGGAUGUGGAGCUCGGUGGCGGAGAGUGGUCGUACGCCUGGGCGUGGAGCUCAGUGGUGGCAGAGGAGCGAGUUUGACGGAACUGCAAGUUCCAUCCAAUUUUGUCUCGGGUGACUAGAUCGAGAAUAUGAGUCAACAAAGUUGGAGGCACCUGUCCAACUAAGUUGAUUCAUCAGGCAACUUGUUUUAUCAACUUAUGCAAACACAGUUUAAUGGAGAGCUGCAGGAGAGAAAGAAGAGAAACUGCUGGGAGGAGGCGUCACGUGGUCCUAGGCUGGGCCUGGUUAGGGUUGCACUAGCACGCGAGUGUUGACCCUGGACAAGCGGGAACCUAAUCAGGCACCCCGGAGCACGUGGGAGAUUGGCUGCUGGCGAAUCUGACAAUAAAUGGGGGGACGGAAGAAUAUGUCUGCAUAGGACUUGGAGACAAAGAGCAAGUAUCUAGCGGCAAUGUUGCGCAGAUGAGAAAAUGUCAGUUGUUUGUAUUCAUGCUGUACCUAGACUGGUGUCACUUGAGGCCGCUGACAAAUUAACCAUAUUCAUGCCCGGAAAGGAAACUGUAAGCACAUCAUUUCAUCUCUGUCGGCAGAAGAGCUUGGAAGAUUGUUGGCUCGGAUACAAGCAACAGGAGCUGACAUAGUCAAGAAUAUUUUCAAAUACUUGUGCACUGCCAAUAGGCCAAUAGCUACAAGCGAGACACUACUAAAACUUGGCUCGAUGUUUAUGUCUAGUUGGGAGGGCGGCGGAUAGCUUUGGCGCAGCACAAAAUGGUAUACUGAGAGCACAUAUGCUGCCUUAAUGUUAUUUCUGUUGCUUUUUUUGGAAGUGGGUAUAUGUAGAUAACUGGAAAUAAAGCAGUACACUUGUCCGGAUACCAGUAAAGGAAGCGGUAUAUGUGAUGGACUGGCCCCUUGGCGUGUAUUUUGUUCGCUUCAACAAUUUCCACGGUGGGUUCAGUUUUGGCCUUAGCAGCAUGUCCAAGCGGGAAGCAGGGAUGCAGCGGAGGAUCUGAAGAUGCAAUCCAAUGGUCGAUAUUGGAGCUACCGUCCACACCAAAGGCCUCAGACACCCAAUGGCAGUGGCGCCUUGGCUCUUAUC
Molecule: long non-coding RNA, 1452 nt
Organism: Lolium rigidum
Lineage: Eukaryota; Viridiplantae; Streptophyta; Magnoliopsida; Poales; Poaceae
Exons: 8
Source: RefSeq, a predicted model, not a curated record